UCAUGGUUUCCACCCUUUGUCC
RNAcentral lists this microRNA (22 nucleotides) under Mus musculus (house mouse). RNAcentral describes it as "mmu-miR-6910-3p". Lineage: Eukaryota; Metazoa; Chordata; Mammalia; Rodentia; Muridae. The record is from miRBase by way of RNAcentral.